This 376-nucleotide unclassified non-coding RNA is filed under the name soil metagenome. RNAcentral's name for it is "partial contains 5.8S ribosomal RNA, internal transcribed spacer 2, and large subunit ribosomal RNA". The stretch from base 1 to 120 matches the Rfam family "5.8S ribosomal RNA", at positions 35 to 154 of the family's 154-position model. The record is from RNAcentral.
GAUGAAGAACGUAGUGAAAUGCGAUAAGUAAUGUGAAUUGCAGAAUUCAGUGAAUCAUCGAAUCUUUGAACGCAUCUUGCGCUCCUUGGUAUUCUGAGGAGCAUGCCUGUUUGAGUGUCAUUAAAUUCUCAACUACACUGACUUUGAAUUGGUGUGGCUUGGAUUUGGGGGGAAAAUUGUUGUGGGCUUUUUGUAUAGUCUGCUCCCCUGAAAUUGAUUAGCGGUACCUUUGUGGAACUGUCUACAGGUGUGAUAAUUAUCUACAUCUUAGACAUCUGCUGGAAUGCUGCUAUCUAAACCUUACUUGUAUUGACAAUCUUGACCUCAAAUCAGGUAGGACUACCCGCUGAACUUAAGCAUAUCAAUAAGCGGAGGA